UCGAAGGGGAUGGCAUCGAUUGGCAGGAGAAAUAGAACCUUGCCCAGGCUGCCGACGGAUAUGCGUGAUCACCGGCUCUUGCGCAUGGCGCCUUCUCGUGGACAGGGCGCCAGCUGGGGUGAGCGGCAUUCUAGCGACAGGCCGAAAGUGGUUAUUUCUUCAAUGCGACAACUAAUUAUAAAAGCACCGAAGAGGGCAUUCGGCGAUAUUGACAGGCAGCGACAUUUGUGCCCGGAAAGCGCGAAGUGUAAUCAAUGAGUAAAGCAAAUCUCAAGCCAUAAAUUGCCAAUUCCUUCUCCUUCAAUGGCUUGCCCGCUACGACUCGCCUCGACUGCUACCCCGUGUCGCACCUUGGCUGUGCGUGGCGUUUCCUCUCGCCCCAAUUAUGCGCAGGCGCGCAUCACCGAAGUGUUACCGCCGCCCCAUUCCCGGCGCGAGCCCAUUCGAAACGCCCUCCUCCUCGGCCCGCGCCAAAUGAAAGACCCCGCGCGGCUCGCACCGCGCGGGGUC
Molecule: small RNA, 510 nt
Organism: Pseudomonas aeruginosa PAO1
Lineage: Bacteria; Pseudomonadati; Pseudomonadota; Gammaproteobacteria; Pseudomonadales; Pseudomonadaceae
Rfam family: Pseudomonas sRNA P6
Source: Rfam